CAAUUCUGUAAUGUAAGAUAGCUGAGAGUAUGAAAACUAGCGUCAUCUCAUGGAUACCUGGUACACUGGUGUGAGUGGUGGGAUUACAGUCACGGAUACCUGGUACAAUGGUGUUAACAGUGGGAUUAUAAUACCUGGUACACUGGUGUUAGAGGUGGGAUUACAGUCACGGAUACCUGGUACACUGGUGUGAGCGGUGGGAUUACAGUCACGGAUACCUGAUACAAUGGUGUGAGUGGUGGGAUUAGUCACUGAUACCUGGUACACUGGUGUGAGUGGUGGGAUUACAGUCACUGAUACCUGGUACAAUGGUGUUAACAGUGGGAUUAUAAUACCUGGUACACUGGUGUUAACAGUGGGAUUACAGUCACUGAUACCUGGUACACUGGUGUCAGGAGUGGGAU
This is a long non-coding RNA of Erpetoichthys calabaricus (reedfish), 404 nucleotides long. RefSeq lists it as uncharacterized. The transcript is spliced from 3 exons. The record is from RefSeq and is a predicted model, not a curated record. Lineage: Eukaryota; Metazoa; Chordata; Cladistia; Polypteriformes; Polypteridae.